This 507-nucleotide ribosomal RNA is filed under the name Gymnopholus vegetatus. RNAcentral's name for it is "partial 16S ribosomal RNA". It matches the Rfam family "Bacterial large subunit ribosomal RNA", at positions 1859 to 2622 of the family's 2925-position model. Lineage: Eukaryota; Metazoa; Arthropoda; Insecta; Coleoptera; Curculionidae. The record is from RNAcentral.
CUGCCCAAUGAGGAUUUAAAUGGCCGCGGUACUUUGACCGUGCAAAGGUAGCAUAAUCAUUAGUUUUUUAAUUGAAAGCUGGUAUGAAAGGUUGGAUGAAAAAAUUACUGUCUCUAUUUAAAUUAUUUAGAAUUUUAUUUUUAAGUAAAAAAGCUUAAAUUAUAAUAGAAGACGAGAAGACCCUAUAGAGUUUUAUAUAUUUUAAUUUGGAAAGGUUUUAGAAUUAAAAAAUUUUUAGGUUAAUGUAUAUUUAGUUGGGGUGAUUGAAAAAUUGAAAAAACUUUUUUUAGAUGUGUAAACAUUUAUUUAUGACAAAAUGAUCCUUAUAUAAAGAUUAAAAGAAAAAAUUACCUUAGGGAUAACAGCGUAAUUUUUUUAGAGAGUUCAAAUCGAAAAAAAAGAUUGCGACCUCGAUGUUGGAUUAAAAUAAAAUUUUGGUGUAGAGGCUAAAAUAUUUGGGUCUGUUCGACCCUUAAAAUUUUACAUGAUCUGAGUUUAAACCGGUGU